UACGUAGGGUGCGAGCGUUAAUCGGAAUUACUGGGCGUAAAGAGCGCGUAGGCGGUUCGUUAUGUCUGUGGUGAAAGCCCUGGGCUCAACCUAGGAAUGGCCAUGGAAACUGGCGGGCUGGAGUAUGGCAGAGGGGGGUGGAAUUCCGCGUGUAGCAGUGAAAUGCGUAGAGAUGCGGAGGAACACCGAUGGCGAAGGCAGCCCGCUGGGCUAAUACUGACGCUGAGGCACGAAAGCGUGGGGAGCAAACAGG
RNAcentral lists this ribosomal RNA (253 nucleotides) under uncultured bacterium. RNAcentral's name for it is "partial 16S ribosomal RNA". It matches the Rfam family "Bacterial small subunit ribosomal RNA", at positions 524 to 776 of the family's 1533-position model. The record is from RNAcentral.